GACGAACGCUGGCGGCGUGCUUAACACAUGCAAGUCGAACGGAAAGCCCCUGCGGUUGGGGGCUGUUGGAAAGGGGAGAGGGAGACGUAGACAAGCGGAACCUGCCCCUGAGAUAGCGAUAACAUCUUGGGACUGAGGCUGAUAGCUCAUAGGUUCUCGUGUGGCAGGUGGUGGAAAGGGAAGCUUGGGCGGCUGGGGAUGGCGUCGCGGCAUAUCAGCUUGUUGGUGGGGUAGUGGCUUACCAAGGCUUCGACGGGUAGCCGGCCUGAGAGGGUGACCGGCCACACUGGGACUGAGAUACGGCCCAGACUCCUACGGGAGGCAGCAGUGGGGAAUAUUGCGCAAUGGGCGGAAGCCUGAUGCAGCGACGCCGCGUGCGGGAUGACGGCCUUCGGGUUGUAAACCUCUUUCGGCAGGGACGAAGCGUAAGUGACGGUACCUGCUGAAGAAGCACCGGCUAACUACGUG
Molecule: ribosomal RNA, 468 nt
Filed under: uncultured bacterium
Lineage: Bacteria
Description: partial 16S ribosomal RNA
Rfam family: Bacterial small subunit ribosomal RNA
Source: RNAcentral